UGAAAAUUUCUGCUCGACGUUUCGGGGCGCCAUCUUGACUCGAAGUUUAGACAAGUACGUAUUAAAGUUGGCUUCAGAACGUCGUAUUUAUGCCACUUUUUCGAAAUAAAAUGGUUGAGUCAUUCAGAGAGACAGGUUAGUAUUAAAUUUAGCUAUAUUUUAAACGUUUGUGAGUUGUUUUAGUUAAGUUAUAGCUGUUGUUUGACAAACGUGCUAUAAAUUCAUUGAAUUACUUCGCUUCCCGUUCGAGCGCCUCGUUCCCGCUUACUCGCUUCAUUUCUUUAGUAUUUCUCAAACUUUUGCGGGUGAAUAAUGUUCAGAAUUACCUCUGCAUUACUUUAAAUCACUCAUAUUUGUUUUAUCUGCAGUUUUAGAGCGAAAAUUUGACGAGAAAGUUAACUGAUUCAAUCGCCGAACUGCCGAAGGCUUCGGUCGAAGCACGCGGUAAGCAUAACAAUGUCCAUUAAACUAAAGCUCGUGUUCCUUGUUUAUUACUGGUAUUUUAAACUUCCUUAUACAACUACAACUUUUUGGUAGCAUUUUCAAAAUGUUUUCUAAACUUUUUUAAAAAUAUGGUGGAAAUUUUUGUCCGUAAUUCGUAAAGCGAAAUGCCGCAUCCAUUUAUUUAAUACUUAGGGCUUUUGAAUUCGAGAUGAAUGCCUCUACUCGCCAUGUCCCUUGAAAGUAUGUUUUAAAUUAAUAUAUCUAAAUUCUUUUUUAUUGCAGCCUACAGCUCAAAACCCAUCAUCUAGAAAGCGAACGGCAAAGAAAAUCCAGUGAAAAACAAGUUGAAAAAGACCAUGAUUCCAUGAAAGGCAAUUACAAAUUAAAACAGAUAGACAAUUGUGACGGAGAUCUUUCGUUGGUGCCAAGUGCCAACUGCUGAACCGUAUGGCUAUCAAGCUCGCAAAGUAUCGACGUUGCGUCCGAUACAUUGGUCGAACACUAUAUCCAAUGCACAAUACCAAAGCCUGACAGUGAUGGAGCGGCCAGUGUGCCAAGUUUAAGUGGGAUGCAAAGAAUUUGUCAAGCCCCAACAGACGUUAUACCAUGCUCAGAGACUACCAAAUCGAGAUGCCCAACCAGUUAGCCACACCCCCAAAACAAAGACCACGCACAAAACUGAAGGAUGCCUACUAUUAGCCUAAAGAUUUCAGAUGUGUCGAAAGUACGUGGGGGCCACCCUGAGAACGCCCAAAUGCACAAAACAAAUUUAAACGUGGCAUAUUUUCAAUAAUUUCGAAACUUUAUUUCAAUUUUACACUUUUUUAGUAUUUGUGAGAAGCUCUUUAACGAAAUCAAAAAUUUUUGAAAUCCGAAAGGUUUUAUCUGGGAGUUUGUAUAUUUGAAAGAUAUUUGAAAUGAAAUUUUUGAAGUUUACAUCACUUUGGUAUUUAGUUUAAACGCUAGGUAAAAUCAUGCCAGAUGGGUGGCUGGCCAUUCGUCGAAGUUCGGUGACAUUUCGGCUCCGACUUUUCCCGACCUACAGACGAGUUGCUCCGAUCGACUGUCGUGAUCAACCAGCACAAAUGUAAGGCUUGGCCAACCUUGCGUUUGUGCUUUUUGUUUGUGGCAUGAGAUUGGACAGCUCGCCUGCAGGCCCGGCAAAAUCGGGCCGAAAUGCCGCCAACCUUUGAUUUGUGACCGGUUUUUUGUUUGUAUGGCUUUAUCCAGCGUUUUCUAGUUAUCAUUCUGAUGUCAAUUUCCGGACUUUGGCUCGAAUAUCUUUAAUAUAAA
This 1737-nucleotide long non-coding RNA is filed under the name Paramuricea clavata. Lineage: Eukaryota; Metazoa; Cnidaria; Anthozoa; Malacalcyonacea; Plexauridae. The record is from RNAcentral.